Molecule: long non-coding RNA, 216 nt
Filed under: Pan paniscus (pygmy chimpanzee)
Lineage: Eukaryota; Metazoa; Chordata; Mammalia; Primates; Hominidae
Description: lncRNA (ENSPPAG00000045508.1)
Source: RNAcentral
UUUUCUCACAUGUCCUUAAAAAGACAGAUAGAGCUACAGAUGAUUAUCAGUCUGAGCCUGGGAUCUUGCUCCUCCUGCCUAAACUGCCUCAUGGAACAGAAUGUCAGUGAACAGAAAGCCCUGGGGCUUCUAGACUUGAGCUGGAAAUUAGAAGACCAUUGAUUCCAACAUGGAAACAGAAGAACAAAGAAGAAGUAAACAGAAAACAAGAAAGAG